RNAcentral lists this ribosomal RNA (497 nucleotides) under uncultured bacterium. RNAcentral's name for it is "partial 16S ribosomal RNA". It matches the Rfam family "Bacterial small subunit ribosomal RNA", at positions 28 to 507 of the family's 1533-position model. The record is from RNAcentral.
GAUGAACGCUGGCGGCGUGCCUAAUACAUGCAAGUAGAACGCUGAAGGAAGGAGCUUGCUCUUUCCGGAUGAGUUGCGAACGGGUGAGUAACGCGUAGGUAACCUGCCUGGUAGCGGGGGAUAACUAUUGGAAACGAUAGCUAAUACCGCAUAACAGUAGAUGUUGCAUGAUAUCUACUUAAAAGGUGCAAUUGCACCACUACCAGAUGGACCUGCGUUGUAUUAGCUAGUUGGUGAGGUAACGGCUCACCAAGGCGACGAUACAUAGCCGACAUGAGAGGGUGAUCGGCCACACUGGGACUGAGACACGGCCCAGACUCCUACGGGAGGCAGCAGUAGGGAAUCUUCGGCAAUGGACGGAAGUCUGACCGAGCAACGCCGCGUGAGUGAAGAAGGUUUUCGGAUCGUAAAGCUCUGUUGUAAGAGAAGAACGAGUGUGAGAGUGGAAAGUUCACACUGUGACGGUAUCUUACCAGAAAGGGACGGCUAACUACGUG